Homo sapiens (human) is the source of this 1164-nucleotide long non-coding RNA. Ensembl annotates it as leucine rich repeat containing 77, pseudogene. Its record names the gene LRRC77P. NCBI's taxonomy places the organism in Eukaryota, Metazoa, Chordata, Mammalia, Primates, Hominidae. The record is from Ensembl.
GUUGUUUAUGUAAGAAUUUCAAGGCCACAACUCCAUAUUUGAAGUAAAGUGCUCAUAAAAUUAAUUGCAAGUAGGUGUAGUCCUUCCUUAGCCUGCUUUUUAAUGAGUGCUGCUAAAGCCCUUAGCCUGCCUGUUUACCCUUGGAGUGGAGCAAUGAACUGAAGAUAUUUGAGUGAGUUCAAGAGAGACUCAGAAGAGAAGAAUUGGAGGCAGCAAACAUAGACAGCACUUUUAAUGCUUUUCUCAUAUGCUGUAAGACAUGAAAGCAAUCUAUUGGGAUGAAAGCUGAAAGGAGAAGCGGGACAAGAGAAGUGAAUCCGUGGAAGACCCCCAAAAGAGGCUGCAGAUUCUUAGUGGACAGCUCUCAUAUCCCCUCCAGGGAAAAUGAUGAAAAAUGUCUUCAGAAAAAUAGCUUUAUGAAGGCAAGAGGACUUUUUGCACCUGCAAGACAUGUCUGAAAGCUCCUCAGGUCAAAACACAAGUAGUCAAGAGAUUUGUCCAUCUAAUUCAUCAUACUACUCUGAUCCAAGUGAGACCCACACUGGGUCAGCUCCAUCAAGGAGAAGAACAUUCCACCCACGUUUGGAUUCUGGAAUAUCAUCCUUGCUUCCAUCAGAUUCUUGUAAGUACCUCACUUGGCACAAGGUAGACAUGACGUUCAAGGAAGUCAACUGCGUUGCCCAAGAGUAAGAGAAGGUAAAAGAAUAAAUGUGUGCCUUUUUCGUGUACAUCCUCUGAAUAGAAUUUUUUGUGGAUUAAAAGACAUUACUUGAAGAAAAAAAAAAGACACCAUUUGGAGGUAAAAUUUUCCUUUUUCAAGACCAUAGAAUUGUUGAUAAGUGAAGCCACCUUUGAAGGUAUAUUCUUAUAACUGAUUAUAUAAAUAACUAACAUUCAGUAAUAAAUAUUGGAAAAUAUUGAAAGAUAAAGAAGAACCUGUAACUGACUGUCCAGAUUAACCACCGUGACUUUUAUUUCCAUUUACUUCUUACACACACAUACAUAUAUGUAAUUUUUAUUUCUUAAGUUUUUUCACUUAACAGAAUGAUAUUGUCAGCAUUUCUUCCAUGCCAUUAAACAUUACCCAAAACAUACUUUUUAAAGCUUGCAUACUUUUCCAUCAUAUUAAUAUCAUUAAAUAUAUUAAAUAUAUGUAACCAAUAA